This is a non-coding RNA of Equus caballus (horse), 960 nucleotides long. The record is from RefSeq and is a predicted model, not a curated record. NCBI's taxonomy places the organism in Eukaryota, Metazoa, Chordata, Mammalia, Perissodactyla, Equidae.
GGCUUUGUUACAGACCGCAUUCAGCCUGCAUUCAGAUGGCAUGUCAAGAACUGUAUUACUCUUGUCCCCUCGUCCAACUCUUAGACUCCCAUAAUUAACCCAGAGGAAGUUGUAAGUGAAAUAAUUAUGAGGUCCUUUCAAAGCUAGACACUUGACACAUGUGUUAUAGAAACCUUAUAAAAAGGAAACUGGAUUCUUGUAAAUUUUAAGAUUAUAUUAAUUCAGACACAAAGACACUCCUAUGAAUUUUCACAAAAAUACUCAAAUCACAGAGUUUGUUCUGCCUGCCAUUGAGAUGUGGGGGAUUUUGCUGUGUGCACUAAAUUCUCUUCUUCUUCUAUUUAUUUACUUAUUUAUUUCCUUCUUCUCCCCAAAGCCCCCCAGUACGUAGUUGUAUGUUUUAGUUGUGAGUCCUUGUUGUGGCAUGUGGGAUGCCACCUCAGCAUGGCUUGAUGAGCAGGGCUAUGUUCGCACCCAGGAUCUGAACCGGUGAAGCCCUGGGCUGCCAAAGCAGAGCACAUGAACUUAACCACUUGGCCACAGGGCAACCCCUACAUUCUCUUCUUUAACUGCCCAUGUCACGAGAGCACAAGACUAGAGUGAAGACAAGCACGGGAGACCAAGGAUGAGAGUUUAUUGAACAUGAUGGUCUCAUCCACAUUCGAAAGCACAAUCCAGGUGUCCAGCUUCUGCAGGAGGAAGUACAGAAGCUCCGAGAUUAGGCCACACAGGGUCGAAACCUGCUCCUGCCGCUGACUGGCUGUCUGUCCUUCAUCAGGUCAUUUAACCUCUUUGACCAGUGCCUGGCAUAGAGCCUGGCCCGUGUAAGGAUGGUCGUGAGCAAUGGAGUGCAGUUUGUCCAGGAACACCCAGGAGAACACACCCGAAGCCUCACUGGAGGACUCAGCCUCCUCGUCUGGUUGGUAAAUAGCCAUCCAUCCAUCCGUUCACCAGGAUGAC